AAGGUUGACCUCGGAUCAGGUAGGGAUACCCGCUGAACUUAAGCAUAUCAAUAAGCCGGAGGAAAG
This 66-nucleotide ribosomal RNA is filed under the name Macrophomina phaseolina. Its description in RNAcentral is "partial 28S ribosomal RNA". Lineage: Eukaryota; Fungi; Ascomycota; Dothideomycetes; Botryosphaeriales; Botryosphaeriaceae. The record is from RNAcentral.